This 279-nucleotide ribosomal RNA is filed under the name uncultured bacterium. RNAcentral's name for it is "partial 16S ribosomal RNA". It matches the Rfam family "Bacterial small subunit ribosomal RNA", at positions 506 to 784 of the family's 1533-position model. The record is from RNAcentral.
UGCCAGCCGCCGCGGUAAUACGGAGGAUGCAAGCGUUAUCCGGAUUUAUUGGGUUUAAAGGGUGCGCAGGCGGAAAAUUAAGUCAGUGGUGAAAUCCUGCAGCUUAACUGUAGAACUGCCAUUGAUACUGAUUUUCUUGAAUUCAUAUGAGGUAGGCGGAAUGUGUAAUGUAGCGGUGAAAUGCUUAGAUAUUACACAGAACACCGAUUGCGAAGGCAGCUUACUAAAUUGACAUUGACGCUGAGGCACGAAAGCGUGGGGAGCGAACAGGAUUAGAUA